GAAGAAGAAGAAGAAGAAGUAGAGAAAGAUUCUCUUUCUGUUUCCUCUCAACACCGUGUGGAUGAUGACAAUAACUCAAACUCUAGCACUGUCUCUGAUUCUCUCCUCACCAGCGAACUCUAUGAGCCAGUUGAUGAUUUGGCCGAGCUAGAAUGGGUUUCUCAAAUUGUGAAUGAUUAUUCCUCAGAAUUCUUCCUUUCGUACCCUUUAAAACCAGAAAGCCAUGCAACAGACAACAGAUUUCAACCGCAACCCCAGCAGGCUAAUUUAACCAAAACUUCAUGCCUUUUCCCUGCUCCAAUCCCAGCCAAGCCAAGAUCCAAACGGCUCAGACCCACCACUAUGGCCUGGUCAAUUGGGUUUCCGAUCACAGAGUUAUCAUCAUCACCAUCAUCUUCUUCUUCUUCUCCGGCAUCAUCAUCUUCAGUUCUCACCAACACGGUCCAAACCGUUGACUCAUUAUCGACCGAACCGCCGACCAAAAAAACAAAGGAAAGACCCACCCUAUUCCAGCGGCGGUGCACUCAUUGUCAUGUUCAAAAGACUCCACAGUGGAGAACCGGUCCGCUCGGGGCCAAAACUCUGUGUAACGCUUGUGGAGUUCGUUAUAAGUCGGGCCGGCUUUUUCCAGAGUAUAGACCGGCAUGUAGUCCAAGUUUUUCAAUGGAAGUUCACUCCAAUAGCCAUCGGAAAGUGCUAGAGAUUAGGAUGAGAAAGGAAAUAACCGGACCAGAGUAGGUUCAACCAGUAAAUGAACCGGUUUAGUUGGUCACGGUCUGCUUGCAGGAUGCAGGCUUUGUAACGGUACAAUUUUUAGUAUUUUUUUUAUUUAGGUUUUUGUAUUUUUUUUUUAUGUUUUAAUUUUUAGGUCUAAUUAAUGAAAAAGAAAGAAUUUAGCUAAAACAUUUGACUUGUGGAUGAGAAAAAAAGUGUAGCUAGCAAUAUAGAGUGCCUAACGCUAAUGGUAUGUAUCUGGGCAUCCCCUCUGGCUACUUAGCUAUAGGCGCCAGUUGAUUUGAC
RNAcentral lists this unclassified non-coding RNA (1020 nucleotides) under Hevea brasiliensis (rubber tree). Lineage: Eukaryota; Viridiplantae; Streptophyta; Magnoliopsida; Malpighiales; Euphorbiaceae. The record is from RNAcentral.